UGGGGAAUAUUGCACAAUGGGCGCAAGCCUGAUGCAGCCAUGCCGCGUGUGUGAAGAAGGCCUUCGGGUUGUAAAGCACUUUCAGCGGGGAGGAAGGCGUUAAGGUUAAUAACCUUGGCGAUUGACGUUACCCGCAGAAGAAGCACCGGCUAACUCCGUGCCAGCAGCCGCGGUAAUACGGAGGGUGCAAGCGUUAAUCGGAAUUACUGGGCGUAAAGCGCACGCAGGCGGUCUGUCAAGUCGGAUGUGAAAUCCCCGGGCUCAACCUGGGAACUGCAUUCGAAACUGGCAGGCUAGAGUCUUGUAGAGGGGGGUAGAAUUCCAGGUGUAGCGGUGAAAUGCGUAGAGAUCUGGAGGAAUACCGGUGGCGAAGGCGGCCCCCUAGACAAAGACUGACGCUCAGGUGCGAAAGCGUGGGGAGCAAACAGG
This 429-nucleotide ribosomal RNA is filed under the name Chloroflexota bacterium. RNAcentral describes it as "Chloroflexi bacterium partial 16S ribosomal RNA". It matches the Rfam family "Bacterial small subunit ribosomal RNA", at positions 355 to 776 of the family's 1533-position model. The record is from RNAcentral. Lineage: Bacteria; Bacillati; Chloroflexota.